RNAcentral lists this ribosomal RNA (257 nucleotides) under uncultured prokaryote. Its description in RNAcentral is "partial 16S ribosomal RNA". It matches the Rfam family "Bacterial small subunit ribosomal RNA", at positions 524 to 780 of the family's 1533-position model. The record is from RNAcentral.
UACGGAGGAUGCAAGCGUUAUCCGGAUUUAUUGGGUUUAAAGGGUGCGCAGGUUGUUUGAUAAGUCAGUGGUGAAAGUCUGUCGCUUAACGGUAGGAUUGCCAUUGAUACUGUUAGACUUGAAUAUGGAUGAGGUAGGCGGAAUGUGUAGUGUAGCGGUGAAAUGCAUAGAUAUUACACAGAACACCGAUUGCGAAGGAAGCUUACUAAUCCAUCAUUGACGCUGAGGCACGAAAGCGUGGGGAUCAAACAGGAUUA